CAUGCAAGUCGAGCGGUAAGGCCCUUCGGGGUACACGAGCGGCGAACGGGUGAGUAACACGUGGGUGAUCUGCCUCGCACUUCGGGAUAAGCCUGGGAAACUGGGUCUAAUACCGGAUAUGACCUGCUGUCGCAUGGCGGUGGGUGGAAAGAUUUAUCGGUGCGAGAUGGGCCCGCGGCCUAUCAGCUUGUUGGUGGGGUAAUGGCCUACCAAGGCGACGACGGGUAGCCGGCCUGAGAGGGCGACCGGCCACACUGGGACUGAGACACGGCCCAGACUCCUACGGGAGGCAGCAGUGGGGAAUAUUGCACAAUGGGCGAAAGCCUGAUGCAGCGACGCCGCGUGAGGGAUGACGGCCUUCGGGUUGUAAACCUCUUUCGACAGGGACGAAGCGUAAGUGACGGUACCUGUAGAAGAAGCACCGGCCAACUACGUGCCAGCAGCCGCGGUAAUACGUAGGGUGCGAGCGUUGUCCGGAAUUACUGGGCGUAAAGAGCUUGUAGGCGGUUUGUCGCGUCGUCCGUGAAAACUUGGGGCUCAACCCCAAGCUUGCGGGCGAUACGGGCAGACUUGAGUACUGCAGGGGAGACUGGAAUUCCUGGUGUAGCGGUGAAAUGCGCAGAUAUCAGGAGGAACACCGGUGGCGAAGGCGGGUCUCUGGGCAGUAACUGACGCUGAGAAGCGAAAGCGUGGGUAGCGAACAGGAUUAGAUACCCUGGUAGUCCACGCCGUAAACGGUGGGUACUAGGUGUGGGUUUCCUUCCACGGGAUCCGUGCCGUAGCUAACGCAUUAA
This 794-nucleotide ribosomal RNA is filed under the name Nocardia abscessus. RNAcentral describes it as "bacterial SSU rRNA". It matches the Rfam family "Bacterial small subunit ribosomal RNA", at positions 54 to 863 of the family's 1533-position model. Lineage: Bacteria; Bacillati; Actinomycetota; Actinomycetes; Mycobacteriales; Nocardiaceae. The record is from RNAcentral.